This 1229-nucleotide long non-coding RNA is filed under the name Mytilus galloprovincialis (Mediterranean mussel). The record is from RNAcentral. Lineage: Eukaryota; Metazoa; Mollusca; Bivalvia; Mytilida; Mytilidae.
CACAUUCAUUCUGUGUCAGAAACCUAUGAUGUGUCAACUAUUUAAUUUUAGAUUUAAAAAGUUUGAAGAAGAAAUCUUUAAUUGUAAAAUUUGUAAAAUCUUGACAUUUGUUUUGUGUAAAAAAAAACCCAUGUAAUGUCAAAAAUUUGAUCACAAUCCAAAUUCAGAGCUGUAUCACGCUAGAAUGUUUUGUCCAUACUUGCCCCAACUGUUCAGGGUUCGACCUCUGCGGUCGUAUAAAGCUGCGCCCUGCGGAGCACCUGGUAUCAUUGUGAAAAAAUUAUGACUGAAUAGUUUUCAACUACAAAAUAACUUUAAAAUUUUGAUAUCAUGUUCUGUAAUUGUAUAACUUAAUCUUGGCACUUUUGUCCAUUGUGGAACAAUCUUCAUAUUAAAUGCACUGAAGAAUUUUUGUAUACACAGUAUAAUAAAUAAAUAGAUGAAAUUAUAAAAUUCUGAUAUCUGAUACAUCUAUCUGUGUGCAGAUUUCCUGAAAUUACAAAAAAUAAUUGUGCAUUUUGUCCAUUUUUUUUUAAAAUUGCAAUAGUUUCUGAUUUUACAUUCAUGAUUUACCCGAGUUUGAUUAUUGCUUUUGUUCAUGUUCCAUCAUUUGUCACUUUUAUCAAUUUUUUUUAGUGGCUUCCCCUUAGAUCUAAUUUACAAGAUGAUAAUUAUAUAUAAGUAGUUUAUAUAAUUCAGCUUUCCAAGUCUUAAAUAUCAAUGAUGAAAAAUUCGGCUCCUUGUUUUCAUUCCUGAAUGCUUCAUACAUCAAGUGCAAUCAGUUCAUCUUUGUAUGAAUUAUUAAAAGAUGACAUAAUCCAAAAUAUGCAAGUUAAAAUGAAUUCUGUACACUAAUAUUAGGAAACUUUUGCAUGCGUUGUAUUUUCACUAUAUUUGCUGUAGCCAUUUUAAUGCAAGUUUUACCUGUUGUGAAUAUUUCAAUGUACAAGACCAUAAACCCAAACAACAAAAAUGGGUAAAAAUGGAGAAUUCCUUUUUAGGCGUAAUCCAUUAUCAAAAUUUGACGCAAAAUAAUCUGGUACCAUACAAUGUUGAUGACACUAUAUUGACAAUAUGUAAAUAAUGUUAGUUCAUAUGCCAGUACAUUUUAUCUGAGUGUUCCUUCAAUUGUUGAUAAUGUAUUAUUGAAUUAUUUUUUUACCAUGUUCAUAUUUUGUUUUAAAUGUUUGACAUUUUAACGUCUCAUUAUAAGAUUCUUUGUAUUUCUA